This 623-nucleotide ribosomal RNA is filed under the name uncultured bacterium. RNAcentral describes it as "bacterial SSU rRNA". It matches the Rfam family "Bacterial small subunit ribosomal RNA", at positions 8 to 639 of the family's 1533-position model. The record is from RNAcentral.
AGAGUUUGAUCCUGGCUCAGGAUGAACGCUAGCGGCAGGCCUAAUACAUGCAAGUCGAACGGUGAUAGCAAUAUCAUAGUGGCGCACGGGUGCGUAACACGUAUGCAACCUACCUUAUACUGAGGGAUAGCCUUUCGAAAGGGAGAUUAAUACCUCAUAACACAUUGAACUGGCAUCAGUUUAUUGUUAAAGAUCUAUUGAUAUAAGAUGGGCAUGCGUCCAAUUAGUUAGUUGGCGAGGUAACGGCUCACCAAGACGAUGAUUGGUAGGGGAACUGAGAGGUUAAUCCCCCACACUGGCACUGAGAUACGGGCCAGACUCCUACGGGAGGCAGCAGUAGGGAAUAUUGGGCAAUGGAGGCAACUCUGACCCAGCCAUGCCGCGUGCAGGAAGAAGGCGUUAUGCGUUGUAAACUGCUUUUAUAUAGGAAGAAAUAGACCUUGCGAGGUAAGUUGACGGUACUAUAUGAAUAAGCACCGACUAACUCCGUGCCAGCAGCCGCGGUAAUACGGAGGGUGCAAGCGUUGUCCGGAUUUAUUGGGUUUAAAGGGUGCGUAGGCGGUUUAUUAAGUCAGUGGUGAAAGACGGUCGCUCAACGAUUGCAGUGCCAUUGAUACUGGUAG